GGCGGCGUAGCCAAGUGGCUAAGGCAGGGGACUGCAAAUCCCUUAUUCGGCGGUUCGAAUCCGCCCGCCGCCUCCA
This 76-nucleotide transfer RNA is filed under the name Desulfurobacterium thermolithotrophum. Its description in RNAcentral is "tRNA-Cys". It matches the Rfam family "tRNA". Rfam says of the family: Transfer RNA (tRNA) molecules are approximately 80 nucleotides in length. Their secondary structure includes four short double-helical elements and three loops (D, anti-codon, and T loops). Further hydrogen bonds mediate the characteristic L-shaped molecular structure. tRNAs have two regions of fundamental functional importance: the anti-codon, which is responsible for specific mRNA codon recognition, and the 3' end, to which the tRNAs corresponding amino acid is attached (by aminoacyl-tRNA synthetases). tRNAs cope with the degeneracy of the genetic code in two manners: having more than one tRNA (with a specific anti-codon) for a particular amino acid; and 'wobble' base-pairing, i.e. permitting non-standard base-pairing at the 3rd anti-codon position. RNAcentral also lists the same sequence under 3 other names. The record is from RNAcentral. Lineage: Bacteria; Pseudomonadati; Aquificota; Aquificia; Desulfurobacteriales; Desulfurobacteriaceae.